Molecule: ribosomal RNA, 385 nt
Filed under: uncultured bacterium
Lineage: Bacteria
Description: bacterial SSU rRNA
Rfam family: Bacterial small subunit ribosomal RNA
Source: RNAcentral
AUUGAACGCUGGCGGAAUGCUUUACACAUGCAAGUCGAACGGUAGAGGGGGCAACCCCUUGAGAGUGGCGAACGGGUGAGUAAUAUAUCGGAACGUGCCCAGUCGUGGGGAUAACGUAGCGAAAGUUACGCUAAUACCGCAUACGAUCUAAGGAUGAAAGCGGGGGGACUCGCAAGAGCCUCGCGCGAUUGGAGCGGCCGAUAUCAGAUUAGGUAGUUGGUGGGGUAAAGGCUCACCAAGCCAACGAUCUGUAGCUGGUCUGAGAGGACGACCAGCCACACUGGGACUGAGACACGGCCCAGACUCCUACGGGAGGCAGCAGUGGGGAAUUUUGGACAAUGGGCGCAAGCCUGAUCCAGCAAUGCCGCGUGCAGGAUGAAGGCCU